Long non-coding RNA from Setaria italica (foxtail millet), 672 nucleotides. RefSeq lists it as uncharacterized. NCBI's taxonomy places the organism in Eukaryota, Viridiplantae, Streptophyta, Magnoliopsida, Poales, Poaceae. The transcript has 2 exons. The record is from RefSeq and is a predicted model, not a curated record.
AUCCGGUUCGUUCAAUCCGGAGCCCCCGCUAAUCCCAAACGGCUCCGCAGCGGAUUGAGCGUGCGCGGCUCGGCUCGGCGGCUCUCAACCCAAGCGACAGGGCAGCCAGAAGCGGAUGCCAAAUCCUCUCGCCCGCCAUCUGCGACCCCCCAAAUUGCGCAGCUUCCCUGUUGACCAUCACCAACCCCGAAGGCCCGAACCCAAUCGCCGGCUUCCUCGCUGCCAGACGCGCGACGCCGGAGACGAUGCAAUCCCGGCCACAUCCCCAGCUUCGAAUCGACUCGUCCUCAUCCAUGGCCAUCCGACCAGCUCCGCUGCUCCAUUCGCCCUUGGCACGCCAUGUCGCCAUCCAUCCCGUGGCUCCAGGUCGUCCAGAUUAACUACGGGUGUGAACCGUGUGAUGCUGGUGCACACUCUGUGUUUGAGUAAAUGCCCCAACGAAUCUGAAGACCCGCGCAGGCUGAACAUCGCUGUUCGUUUUUCUGUGGUCUGUGCAGAUCAGCAAAGGAUGCGUUGAGAAUGCGUGCGUUUAUGCGAAACUCUGAAAAAUAUAUUGAAUGUGAAGGAUUGGGUAUAAAUAAUUUGAUUUUUAAUAGAGGCUGUGAUUUUUCUAGAGCAAGUAAUAUUGUGAAUGAAAAGUCACUUUUAUAGACAAAAUAAAAUAAAAAGGCA